GACUCCGUGGCGCAAUUGGUUAGCGCGUCUGACUGUUAAGGAGAGAAAUUUCUAAAGCAAUCAGGAGGUUGGCAGUUCAAGCCUGCCCGGGGUCG
Phyllosticta citrichinensis is the source of this 95-nucleotide non-coding RNA. NCBI's taxonomy places the organism in Eukaryota, Fungi, Ascomycota, Dothideomycetes, Botryosphaeriales, Phyllostictaceae. The record is from the annotation of a GenBank genome assembly.